GAUGAACGCUAGCGGCAGGCCUAAUACAUGCAAGUCGGACGGGAUUCAGGAGCUUGCUUCUGAUGAGAGUGGCGCACGGGUGCGUAACACGUAUGUAACCUACCUUUAUCAGGGGGAUAGCCUCUCGAAAGAGAGAUUAAGCCCGCAUAAAAUCACAGCACAGCAUUGUGUAAUGAUCAAAUAUUUAUAGGAUAAAGAUGGGCAUGCGGAACAUUAGCUAGAUGGCGGGGUAACGGCCCACCAUGGCGACGAUGUUUAGGGGAUCUGAGAGGAUGGCCCCCCACACUGGUACGGAGACACGGACCAGACUCCUACGGGAGGCAGCAGUAAGGAAGAUUGGUCAAUGGGCGGAAGCCUGAACCAGCCAUGCCGCGUGCAGGAAGACGGCCCUACGGGUUGUAAACUGCUUUUAUACGGGAAUAAACCCAGAUACGUGUAUCUGGCUGAAUGUACUGUAAGAAUAAGGAUCGGCUAACUCCGUGC
This 483-nucleotide ribosomal RNA is filed under the name uncultured bacterium. Its description in RNAcentral is "partial 16S ribosomal RNA". It matches the Rfam family "Bacterial small subunit ribosomal RNA", at positions 28 to 508 of the family's 1533-position model. The record is from RNAcentral.